UAAUAAGUGGUUUAUGGCACUUUUUAAAUCCAUAUCCACCUUGUGUGACAAUGUCAGGUCGAUCUUCUUAUUGGAGGAUCGACCAAACAUCAACCUUUAUCUUUUAUACCUCUUUGUCUCUGAAAAAUAUUAUGAAUAAACAAUUCAAAAUA
This 152-nucleotide unclassified non-coding RNA is filed under the name soil metagenome. RNAcentral describes it as "partial internal transcribed spacer 1". The record is from RNAcentral.